UACAGAGGUCUCAAGCGUUGUUCGGAUUCAUUGGGCGUAAAGGGCGCGUAGGCGGCGGGGUCAGUCGGGUGUGAAAUCUUGGGGCUUAACCCCGAAACGGCACUCGAAACUGCCCGGCUGGAGGGCCGGAGAGGAGAUCGGAAUUCACGGUGUAGCAGUGAAAUGCGUAGAUAUCGUGAGGAAGACCAGUGGCGAAGGCGGGUCUCUGGACAGUUCCUGACGCUGAGGCGCGAAGGCCAGGGGAGCAAACGGG
This 253-nucleotide ribosomal RNA is filed under the name uncultured bacterium. RNAcentral describes it as "partial 16S ribosomal RNA". It matches the Rfam family "Bacterial small subunit ribosomal RNA", at positions 524 to 776 of the family's 1533-position model. The record is from RNAcentral.